Molecule: unclassified non-coding RNA, 220 nt
Filed under: Hevea brasiliensis (rubber tree)
Lineage: Eukaryota; Viridiplantae; Streptophyta; Magnoliopsida; Malpighiales; Euphorbiaceae
Source: RNAcentral
GAGCUGCAUCUCCCCUACCCAAGAGAGCUGCUUCUCCGCUGCCCAAGAGAGCUACUUCUCCUAGUUCAGCUGGAGCAGGCAGGAAGGUUCGCACCCGGUCACCACCACCCAAACGAGCUACUACUCCGAGAAAAACAUCUCCAGUUCUCGAGUCUGUGGUUCUUCACAUUGAUCAUCUGUCAAGAAAUGUCAGUGAAGGCCAUCUAAAAGAGAUAUUCAG